This 392-nucleotide ribosomal RNA is filed under the name uncultured bacterium. Its description in RNAcentral is "partial 16S ribosomal RNA". It matches the Rfam family "Bacterial small subunit ribosomal RNA", at positions 523 to 918 of the family's 1533-position model. The record is from RNAcentral.
AUACGGAGGAUCCGAGCGUUAUCCGGAUUUAUUGGGUUUAAAGGGUGCGCAGGCGGCCAUUUAAGUCAGCGGUUAAAUCGUGGGGCUCAACCCCAUUCUGCCGUUGAUACUGGGUGGCUUGAUUGCGGUCGAGGUUGGCGGAAUUCGUUGUGUAGCGGUGAAAUGCAUAGAUAUGACGAAGAACACCGAUUGCGUAGGCAGCUGACCAGACCGCAAAUGACGCUCAUGCACGAAAGUGCGGGGAUCGAACAGGAUUAGAUACCCUGGUAGUCCGCACAGUAAACGAUGAAUACUUGUUUUCGGCGAUAUAAUGUCGGAGGCAAAGCGAAAGCGAUAAGUAUUCCACCUGGGGAGUACGCCGGCAACGGUGAAACUCAAAGGAAUUGACAGGG